Molecule: ribosomal RNA, 817 nt
Filed under: uncultured Pseudomonadota bacterium
Lineage: Bacteria; Pseudomonadati; Pseudomonadota
Description: bacterial SSU rRNA
Rfam family: Bacterial small subunit ribosomal RNA
Source: RNAcentral
ACACAUGCAAGUCGAACGGUGUAGCAAUACACAGUGGCGCACGGGUGAGUAACGCGUGGGAAUGUACCCUUUAGUACGGAAUAGCCUCGGGAAACUGGGAUUAAUACCGUAUACGCCCUUCGGGGGAAAGAUUUAUCGCUAAAGGAUCAGCCCGCGUGAGAUUAGGUAGUUGGUGGGGUAAUGGCCUACCAAGCCUACGAUCUCUAGCUGGUCUGAGAGGACGACCAGCCACACUGGGACUGAGACACGGCCCAGACUCCUACGGGAGGCAGCAGUGGGGAAUAUUGGACAAUGGGCGAAAGCCUGAUCCAGCCAUGCCGCGUGAGUGAUGAAGGCCUUAGGGUUGUAAAGCUCUUUCGGUGGUGACGAUAAUGACGGUAACCACAUAAGAAGCCCCGGCUAACUUCGUGCCAGCAGCCGCGGUAAUACGAAGGGGGCUAGCGUUGUUCGGAAUAACUGGGCAUAAAGCGCACGUAGGCGGAUAUGCAAGUCAGGGGUGAAAUCCCGGGGCUCAACCUCGGAACUGCCUUUGAAACUGCGUAUCUGGAAUCUCAGAGGGGAUAGCGGAAUUCCAAAUGUAGGGGUGAAAUCCGUAGAUAUUUGGAGGAACACCGGUGGCGAGGGCGGCUAUCUGGAUGAGUAUUGACGCUGAGGUGCGAAAGCGUGGGGAUCAAACAGGAUUAGAUACCCUGGUAGUCCACGCCGUAAACGAUGAGUGCUAGUUGUUGGGGACUUAGUCUUCAGUGACGUCGCAAAUGCUUUAAGCACUCCGCCUGGGGAGUACGGCCGCAAGGUUAAAACUCAAAUGAAUUGACGG